Molecule: ribosomal RNA, 491 nt
Filed under: uncultured bacterium
Lineage: Bacteria
Description: partial 16S ribosomal RNA
Rfam family: Bacterial small subunit ribosomal RNA
Source: RNAcentral
GUGAACGCUGGCGGUCGGCCUAACCCCUGCAAGUCGAACGGCAGCACAGUAAGAGUUUGCUCUUACGCGUGGCGAGAGGCGGACGGGAGCGGAAUACUACGCUAUCCACUUUUUUGUGGGGGAUAACGUAGGGAAACUCACGCUAAUACCACAUACGCCUUAUGGGUGAAAGCAGGGGAUCUUUGGACCUUGCGCGAUUGAAAGUGCCGAUGUCGGAUUAGCUUGUUGGCGGGGUAACGGCCCACCAAGGCGACGAUCCGUAGCUGGUCUGAGGGGAUGAUCAGCCACACUGGAAGUGAGACACGGUCCAGACUCCUACGGGAGGCAGCAGUGGGGAAUAUUGGACAAUGGGCGCAAGCCUGAUCCAGCCAUACCGCGUGUGUGAAGAAGGCCUUCGGGUUGUAAAGCCCUUUUGUUGGGAAAGAAAAGCAGCAGGUUAAUACCCCGCUGUUCUGACGGUACCCAAAGAAUAAGCACCGGCUAACUUCGUG